This 320-nucleotide ribosomal RNA is filed under the name uncultured eukaryote. RNAcentral's name for it is "partial 18S ribosomal RNA". It matches the Rfam family "Eukaryotic small subunit ribosomal RNA", at positions 1470 to 1796 of the family's 1831-position model. The record is from RNAcentral.
CCCCUAGAUGUUCUGGGCCGCACGCGCGCUACACUGAACAGUUCAACAAGUCUUAACCUUGGCCGAUAGGUCUGGGUAAUCUUUGAACGCUGUUCGUGAUUGGGAUAGACCUUUGCAAUUAUGGGUCUUCAACGAGGAAUUCCUAGUAAACGCAAGUCAUCAGCUUGCAUUGAUUACGUCCCUGCCCUUUGUACACACCGCCCGUCGCACCUACCGAUUGAAUGGUCCGGUGAAAUCUCGGGACGGCGGCUUGGUCGCUUGCGUCCGACUGCUGAAACUUGAUUAAACCAUAUCACUUAGAGGAAGGUAAAGUCGUAACA